Molecule: non-coding RNA, 29 nt
Filed under: Xenopus tropicalis (tropical clawed frog)
Lineage: Eukaryota; Metazoa; Chordata; Amphibia; Anura; Pipidae
Also listed under: 6 other names
Source: RNAcentral
GGUGGUUCAGUGGUAGAAUUCUCGCCUGC